This 627-nucleotide ribosomal RNA is filed under the name Kocuria palustris. RNAcentral describes it as "bacterial SSU rRNA". It matches the Rfam family "Bacterial small subunit ribosomal RNA", at positions 183 to 822 of the family's 1533-position model. Lineage: Bacteria; Bacillati; Actinomycetota; Actinomycetes; Micrococcales; Micrococcaceae. The record is from RNAcentral.
UCACCGCAUGGUGGUGUGUGGAAAGGGUUUACUGGUCUUGGAUGGGCUCACGGCCUAUCAGCUUGUUGGUGAGGUAAUGGCUCACCAAGGCGACGACGGGUAGCCGGCCUGAGAGGGUGACCGGCCACACUGGGACUGAGACACGGCCCAGACUCCUACGGGAGGCAGCAGUGGGGAAUAUUGCACAAUGGGCGAAAGCCUGAUGCAGCGACGCCGCGUGAGGGAUGACGGCCUUCGGGUUGUAAACCUCUUUCAGCAGGGAAGAAGCCACAAGUGACGGUACCUGCAGAAGAAGCGCCGGCUAACUACGUGCCAGCAGCCGCGGUAAUACGUAGGGCGCAAGCGUUGUCCGGAAUUAUUGGGCGUAAAGAGCUCGUAGGCGGUUUGUCGCGUCUGCUGUGAAAGCCCGGGGCUUAACCCCGGGUGUGCAGUGGGUACGGGCAGACUAGAGUGCAGUAGGGGAGACUGGAAUUCCUGGUGUAGCGGUGGAAUGCGCAGAUAUCAGGAGGAACACCGAUGGCGAAGGCAGGUCUCUGGGCUGUUACUGACGCUGAGGAGCGAAAGCAUGGGGAGCGAACAGGAUUAGAUACCCUGGUAGUCCAUGCCGUAAACGUUGGGCACUAGGUG